GACGAACGCUGGCGGCGUGCUUAACACAUGCAAGUCGAACGGAAAGGCCCUGCUUUUGUGGGGUGCUCGAGUGGCGAACGGGUGAGUAACACGUGAGUAACCUGCCCUUGACUUUGGGAUAACUUCAGGAAACUGGGGCUAAUACCGGAUAGGAGCUCCUGCUGCACGGGGGGGGUUGGUAAGUUUCGGCGGUUGGGGAUGGACUCGCGGCUUAUCAGCUGGUUGGUGGGGUAGUGGCUUACCAAGGCUUUGACGGGUAGCCGGCCUGAGAGGGUGACCGGCCACAUUGGUACUGAGAUACGGCCCAGACUCCUACGGGAGGCAGCAGUGGGGAAUAUUGCACAAUGGGCGGACGCCUGAUGCAGCAACGCCGCGUGCGGGAUGACGGCCUUCGGGUUGUAAACCGCUUUCGCCUGUGACGAAGCGUGAGUGACGGUAAUGGGUAAAGAAGCACCGGCUAACUACGUG
RNAcentral lists this ribosomal RNA (468 nucleotides) under uncultured bacterium. RNAcentral's name for it is "partial 16S ribosomal RNA". It matches the Rfam family "Bacterial small subunit ribosomal RNA", at positions 28 to 507 of the family's 1533-position model. The record is from RNAcentral.